This 468-nucleotide ribosomal RNA is filed under the name uncultured bacterium. RNAcentral's name for it is "partial 16S ribosomal RNA". It matches the Rfam family "Bacterial small subunit ribosomal RNA", at positions 28 to 507 of the family's 1533-position model. The record is from RNAcentral.
GACGAACGCUGGCGGCGUGCUUAACACAUGCAAGUCGAACGGAAAGGCCCUGCUUUUGUGGGGUGCUCGAGUGGCGAACGGGUGAGUAACACGUGAGUAACCUGCCCUUGACUUUGGGAUAACUUCAGGAAACUGGGGCUAAUACCGGAUAGGAGCUCCUGCUGCAUGGUGGGGGUUGGAAAGUUUCGGCGGUUGGGGAUGGACUCGCGGCUUAUCAGCUUGUUGGUGGGGUAGUGGCUUACCAAGGCUUUGACGGGUAGCCGGCCUGAGAGGGUGACCGGCCACAUUGGGCCUACGAUACGGCCCAGACUCCUACGGGCGGCAGCAGUGGGGAAUAUUGCACAAUGGGCGGAAGCCUGAUGCAGCAACGCCGCGUGCGGGAUGACGGCCUUCGGGUUGUAAACCGCUUUCGCCUGUGACGAAGCGUGAGUGACGGUAAUGGGUAAAGAAGCACCGGCUAACUACGUG